Molecule: ribosomal RNA, 327 nt
Filed under: Triticum aestivum (bread wheat)
Lineage: Eukaryota; Viridiplantae; Streptophyta; Magnoliopsida; Poales; Poaceae
Description: partial small subunit ribosomal RNA
Source: RNAcentral
AUGUCUUCCUCCUCCGGCGCAUCUCACCCUAACCUCAAUGGGCAGGUCAUUGAGAAACUCUCCCGCACGAACUACAUGCUAUGGCGCACACAAAUCACGCCGCAGUUGCGUGGCGCCGGUGUCUUCAACUAUGUUGACGGCACCUCGCCGGAGCCGGCCAAGCUUCUCGCCGCCAAGGACAAGGACGGCAAGGAGACUUUCGAGCCCAACCCUCUCCACCCAAUUUGGGUCAAGGAGGACCAGCAGGUGCUCGGUUAUCUGCUGAGCAACCUCUCCAAAGAGGUUCUCGUCACGGUGACCACGGUCACCACGGCGCAGGCGCUCUAG